AUGAAAAUCUUAAGCUGGAACUGUCGAGGCUUGGGUCAACCUCGUACAGUUCAAGAGCUUGUGUGUCUCUCGAAGACGCACCAACCCAAUGUUAUCUUUCUUUCUGAAACAAGGAAAAAUAAAGAAUAUGUUGAAUAUUUGCGUUUUCGGUUGGGUACGAAAAAUAUGUUUACUGUUUCAGCUCAAGGCAAAGGUGGUGGUCUUGCUGUGUUCUGGGAUGAU
This 222-nucleotide ribosomal RNA is filed under the name Triticum aestivum (bread wheat). RNAcentral's name for it is "partial small subunit ribosomal RNA". Lineage: Eukaryota; Viridiplantae; Streptophyta; Magnoliopsida; Poales; Poaceae. The record is from RNAcentral.